GACGAACGCUGGCGGCGUGCUUAACACAUGCAAGUCGAACGGAAAGGCCCUGCUUUUGUGGGGUGCUCGAGUGGCGAACGGGUGAGUAACAGGUGAGUAACCUGCCCUUGACUUUGGGAUAACUUCAGGAAACUGGGGCUAAUACCGGAUAGGAGCUCCUGCUGCAUGGUGGGGGUUGGAAAGUUUAGGCGGGUGGGGAUGGACUGGCGGCUAAUCAGCUUGUUGGUGGGGUAGUGGUUUACCCAGGCUUUGACUGGUAGCCGGCCCGAGAGGGUGACCGGCCACAUUGGGACUGAGAGACGGACCAGACUCGUACGGGAGGCAGCAGGGGGGAAUAUUGCCCAACGGGCGGAAGCCUGAUGCAGCAACGUCGCGUUCGGGAUGACGGCCUUCUGGUUGUAAACCGCUUUCGCCUGUGACGAAGCGUGAGUGACGGUAAUGGGUAAAGAAGCACCGGCUAACUACGUG
This 468-nucleotide ribosomal RNA is filed under the name uncultured bacterium. RNAcentral describes it as "partial 16S ribosomal RNA". It matches the Rfam family "Bacterial small subunit ribosomal RNA", at positions 28 to 507 of the family's 1533-position model. The record is from RNAcentral.